AUGGCUGAAGUCCCAGUUGUACCAAAGUCUCCUGCAUUCCCCAACUGGGACUCAGCCCCACUUCAACUGGUUUAUCCCUGCUUUUGGCCUCUGAGGCCCGCCGCCCUGACCGCCGCCCAGGCCGAGGCCGCGAGUGCCCGCCGGCCGCUUCCGCUCUCGGCGCAGGCGCUGCAGCUUGGCCAGAGCGGAGGGGGGUCGGGAGAGGAGUGGAUGCCGCUGGCCAGGAUUGUGCUGGAGAGCGUGGCCCGCAUCAUGAAGGUGCAGCUCCCCGCAUAUCUGAAGCGGCUCCCAGUCCCUGAAAGCAUUACCGGGUUCGCUAGGCUCACAGUUUCAGAAUGGCUUCGAUUAUUACCUUUCCUUGGUGUACUCGCACUUCUUGGCUACCUUGCAGUUCGUCCAUUCCUCCCGAAGAAGAAACAACAGAAGGAUAGCUUGAUUAAUCUUAAAAUACAAAAGGAAAAUCCGAAAGUAGUGAAUGAAAUAAACAUUGAAGAUUUGUGUCUUACUAAGCAGCUUAUUGUAGGUGUUGGCGUUCUAAAACGUUUCCUGCCUGUGAUGGUUCACAUAAUAAACACAAUGAAUUGACAGGAGAUAAUGUGGGUCCACUAAUACUGAAGAAGAAAGAAGUAUAAUAAUAAUAUUAUAACAAUAUUUUCUCAUUCUUUGUGUAUAGAAAAUUUUUAAAUGGUGGUCUUAAUUAUUACUACUGGUUGAACAAUUAUUUCUUCCAAUUUAUUUUCUUCCUGCACUACUGUUUGUAUUUGAUCCUUUGUCUAUUCAGUCACUUAAUUAGAAAUUAAAUUGUCAAGCCUCUUAUUCUGACUUCAAAGAAUUAAUGUAUCUUCCAACAAUAAAAUCACUUCUGAUUUUAAUCUAGGAAAACCUAAAUUGUGGCUAUGGAUCCAAAGCUGUUUGUUUCUUUGAAUAUCAAUAUUUUCAACAGGAUCUUGUAUUUAAAAUUCCCAUCUACAUUGUUAAAUAUGUUAUUUUUUCAUAUCUCUUUUGGUUUUGAUAAUCUGAAGUGUUUUUUUCUCCUUUUGGCCUUCCAAACUGCAUUUAUUUAGGUGAAUUAAGAAAAAUAUUGCCAUCAAGAAUUACUUGUGUUUUCACAGAGAUAGACUCUUUGCUUUAUAGAGAUUGUAGUGUAUUUAAUAUGAAUAUCCCAGCUUUAGAAAAGAAGUAAACUGGAUACAAAAAGUUCCAUCGAGGAACAGUUAUUUACAAUAUAAAAGAUUUGUUUACUUU
This is an RNA transcript of Nomascus leucogenys (northern white-cheeked gibbon), 1245 nucleotides long. It is a transcript of the gene named CDGSH iron-sulfur domain-containing protein 2 pseudogene, with no coding region annotated. The record is from RefSeq and is a predicted model, not a curated record. Lineage: Eukaryota; Metazoa; Chordata; Mammalia; Primates; Hylobatidae. The transcript is spliced from 3 exons.